RNAcentral lists this long non-coding RNA (929 nucleotides) under Capsicum annuum. RNAcentral's name for it is "long non-coding RNA (CANN_LNC004827)". The record is from RNAcentral. Lineage: Eukaryota; Viridiplantae; Streptophyta; Magnoliopsida; Solanales; Solanaceae.
AACAAAAUAAAAAAACAAAAUCGGUAGUGGUUUUUCAUCUGAUAACUAAUCGUCUAGACUGAUAACAAUUCUUUAGCUGUUGUCAUUACUCUUUUCUAUCUUCAGUGUUAAUGACUUGUUGUUAGACGUAAUGAGUCAUUGGUUAGGACUCUUUGUCACUCCAAUGAAUUUCAACUUUCAGUACUUUUGGACCUAUUGUCAGAACUACUCCUCACCACUAGUCCUUGUUAGUCAUAACAACUCAUGGUCCUCACUUGUUUUCACUGGAACCUCAACUUGUCAAUUUUCAAGACUUUGUCACUUAUACUCAAAACGACUCUCAUUACGGAUCAUUAUCCCUCAUAAUGAGUUGUAUCCAGUCUUCUAUUUGCUCCUAAAGUCAGUCUUCCUCACUACUAUUAUAACGACUUGGACCACGAGUCAUUAGGUGAAUAAACAACUCAUGGUCUAGUCAACACUUUGCUUUUUUUGGAGUCUUUUCAUCCAUUUCUGAUCCAUGACACUUCCACCUAAUUUACCUGCAACAUAAAUAUAACACGCAUCAUAUCGGACAAAAUAGCACAAGUAAGUGCAUAUUUUCACCAUUUUAAGCAUCAAAGUGCCAUGAAAUCAUGUCACGACAAUAAUACCUAGUUAUUUCGGUUAUAAUAAAUGCAUGAAUUAGUCUCUCCAUUUACACAAUAAAUGUUAAUUUAAAACAUUUUAAAAUUGGCCAUAUAUUUAUAGGUCGUAGUUGAGGAGGAUUAAUUGGGUGGGUGAGGUUAAUAUUUGAUCAAUUAAAAUGGAUCAAGUUAGUAAAAAUGUAAUAACUCAAACCAUUAUACAACAUGAAUUAGGCUAAUUUGCAUCUAAAAAAAUGAGAUAUAACCUCACUAAGUUAAACAAAUUAAUUUACAUAUUCAUAUUUUCUUUCACAUUUUUAAGACAAA